Molecule: ribosomal RNA, 403 nt
Filed under: uncultured bacterium
Lineage: Bacteria
Description: partial 16S ribosomal RNA
Rfam family: Bacterial small subunit ribosomal RNA
Source: RNAcentral
AUUGAACGCUGGCGGCAGGCCUAACACAUGCAAGUCGGGCGAGCGGAGGACGGGUGAGUAAUGUAUGGGGACUGCCUGAUGGAGGGGGAUAACUACUGGAAACGGUCGCUAAUACCGCAUACUAACAAAUAACCCAUAUGGGUUUAGCUUGUAGGGAAGGUAAGGGCAUACCUAGGCGACGAUCCCUAGCUGGUCUGCGAGGAGGAUCAGCCACACUGGGACUGAGACACGGCCCAGACUCGUACGGAGGCAGCAGUGGGGAAUAUUGCACAAUGGGCGCAAGCCUGAUGCAGCAAUGCCGCGUGUAUGAAGAAGGCCGUAGGGUUGUAAAGUACUUUCAGUCGGGAGGCGUUACCGGCAGAAGAAGCACCGGCUAACUCCGUGCCAGCAGCCGCGGUAAUUC